This 636-nucleotide ribosomal RNA is filed under the name uncultured Basidiomycota. RNAcentral's name for it is "eukaryotic LSU rRNA". The stretch from base 240 to 393 matches the Rfam family "5.8S ribosomal RNA". Lineage: Eukaryota; Fungi; Basidiomycota. The record is from RNAcentral.
CAUUAUUGAAUAAACUUGAACAGGCUGUUGCUGACCCUCCCUCAGGGAGGGAUAUGUGCACGCUUGUCAUCUUUAUUUUUCCAACUGUGCACAUAUUGUAGACCUAGUUGGGGACUGCUGUGCUUUCUCAAAGUCAGCUUUCCCUUGUACUUUUUCAGGUCUAUGUCAUUUUAUCACAAACCUUCUGAGUCUGUUUAGAAUGUUGAAUCAGGUCAUUUUGUUGUACCUUUAAUUAAUACAACUUUCAGCAACGGAUCUCUUGGCUCUCGCAUCGAUGAAGAACGCAGCGAAAUGCGAUAAGUAAUGUGAAUUGCAGAAUUCAGUGAAUCAUCGAAUCUUUGAACGCAUCUUGCGCUCCUUGGUAUUCCGAGGAGCAUGCCUGUUUGAGUGUCAUCUAAAUUCUCAAACCCACCAUUGAGUGUGGCUUUGGAAAUGGGGGUAGUGAUUUUUUUGCAGGCUUUUUUUAAAAAUGAAAGUCUUGCUCCCCUGAAAUGCAUUAGUGGUAUCUGAGCAGAAGGAACUACUACAGGUGUGAUAAUUUAUCUACACCUUGGUAUUGCUGCAUGAACAGAUUGAACUGCUUAUAACAAACUUUUGUUAUUUUGUUUGAAGNCCUCAAAUCAGGUAGGACUACCC